Camellia sinensis is the source of this 1040-nucleotide non-coding RNA. Lineage: Eukaryota; Viridiplantae; Streptophyta; Magnoliopsida; Ericales; Theaceae. The record is from RefSeq and is a predicted model, not a curated record.
UCCUAAAACUCAAACAAAUGGAAUUAAAGGACGACAACAAGAUAGAUACAACUACCAACUCCACGGAACCGAGUCCGGAAUACAACAGAACAGUAAAGGGACAACCGGGAUCGCUAUACUAGUUAUGCUAUUGCCAUGUAGUUGGGACGAAUGUUGCUGACAUUAGCAUUUGGGAAGUUGGAUCUUGAGAAAGGUUAGCACAUAAACUCUUCCAGGUUUGGGAUCUCUCAGCUUGUUCAAUGCCAUUGCAGGUAAAAAUUUCAUUGGUAUUAGCUACCUUUAACAUGUUAUCUGUGGUAUCUUACCAUUUUUAUGUAAAAAAAUUUAUAAUUUCUAGACAGUUUGGUGAAAGAUGCCACCAUAUCUAUCAAUUGAUGCAUUUGGGGCCCAGAUGGAUCUAUACUUGGUGUUGCUUUCUCAAGAACAUUGUUCAGAUAUUUACUUACAAUAGCAGGAGAAUUAAGACAACAUUUGGAAAUUGAUGCUCAUGUUGGUGGUGUUAAUGAUAUUGCCUUUGCUCAUCCUAAUAAGCAACUUUGUAUUGUCACAUGUGGUGAUGACAAGACAAUUAAGGUGUGGGAUGCUGUAACUGGACGCGGGCAAUAUAUAUUUGAAGGCCAUGAAACUCCUGUAUAUUCUGUCUGACCCAUUAUAAGGAGAAUAUUCAGUUUAUUUUUUCCACUGCCAUUGAUGGGAAAAUUAAAGCAUGGCUCUAUGAUUUCUUAGAAUCAAGAGUGGAUUAUGAUGCCCCUGGACUUUGGUGCACUGCAAUGGCAUAUAGCGCUGAUGGAACUAGAUCUUACUUUUCUCAAAACCCAGCUCUGACUAGUGCCUUCUUAUUCUUUUGUCUUCUUCACUUGAAUUAUAUGGAGCCAACAUGAUGAGUUGGAGGCAAAGUUUUUCGAGGAGAGAGCAGCCUUUGAAGCUAAAUACCAAAGCACACUUCAUAUAUAUAUAUAUAUAUAUAUUGUUACAAUGAGAAAAUAUUAGCAAUUUUUUAUUUUUAUUUUUAUUUUUAUUUUUUUUGUAUUGAGUUAACA